Molecule: ribosomal RNA, 658 nt
Filed under: uncultured bacterium
Lineage: Bacteria
Description: bacterial SSU rRNA
Rfam family: Bacterial small subunit ribosomal RNA
Source: RNAcentral
CGGGACAGCCUCGGGAAACCGUGGGUAAUACCGGAUACUCCGGGACGGCCGCAUGGCCGGCCCGGGAAAGCCCAGACGGGAGGGGAUGGGCCCGCGGCCUGUUAGCUAGUCGGCGGGGUAACGGCCCACCGAGGCGAUUAUGGGUAGCCGGGUUGAGAGACCGACCGGCCAGAUUGGGACUGAGACACGGCCCAGACUCCUACGGGAGGCAGCAGUGGGGAAUCUUGCGCAAUGGGCGGAAGCCUGACGCAGCGACGCCGCGUGCGGGACGAAGGCCUUCGGGUCGUAAACCGCUUUCAGCAGGGACGAGGCCCUCACGGUGACGGUACCUGCAGAAGAAGCCCCGGCUAACUACGUGCCAGCAGCCGCGGUAAUACGUAGGGGGCGAGCGUUAUCCGGAUUCAUUGGGCGUAAAGCGCGCGUAGGCGGCCUGUUAGGUCGGGGGUCAAAUACCGGGGCUCAACCCCGGUCCGCCCCCGAUACCGGCAGGCUUGAGUCUGGUAGGGGAAGGCGGAAUUCCCAGUGUAGCGGUGGAAUGCGCAGAUAUUGGGAAGAACACCGGCGGCGAAGGCGGCCUUCUGGGCCACGACUGACGCUGAGGCGCGAAAGCUAGGGGAGCGAACAGGAUUGGAUACCCUGGUAGUCCUAGCCGUAAACG